CUACGGGAGGCAGCAGUGGGGAAUUUUCCGCAAUGGGCGAAAGCCUGACGGAGCAAUACCGCGUGAGGGAAGACGGCCUAUGGGUUGUAAACCUCUUUUUUCAGGGAGGAAUUUUGACGUGUACCUGAAGAAUAAGCAUCGGCUAACUCCGUGCCAGCAGCCGCGGUAAGACGGAGGAUGCAAGUGUUAUCCGGAAUCACUGGGCGUAAAGCGUCUGUAGGUGGUUGUUUAAGUCAACUGUUAAAUCUUGAGGCUCAACUUCAAAAUCGCAGUCGAAACUAUUCAACUAGAGUAUAGUAGGGGUAAAGGGAAUUUCCAGUGGAGCGGUGAAAUGCGUAGAUAUUGGAAAGAACACCGAUGGCGAAGGCACUUUACUGGGCUAUUACUGACACUCAGAGACGAAAGCUAGGGUAGCAAAUGGGAUUAGAUACCCCAGUAGUCCUAGCCGUAAACAAUGGAUACUAGAUGUUGAACAGAUCGACCUGUGCAGUAUCAAAGCUAACGCGUUAAGUAUCCCGCCUGGGAAGUAUGCUCGCAAGAGUGAAACUCAAAG
RNAcentral lists this ribosomal RNA (553 nucleotides) under uncultured bacterium. RNAcentral describes it as "bacterial SSU rRNA". It matches the Rfam family "Bacterial small subunit ribosomal RNA", at positions 339 to 906 of the family's 1533-position model. The record is from RNAcentral.